GUCAAGUUGACAGCAUGAACUUUUGAUGUGAUGUGAGGAAAAUGGCAUUCUAUCUCUGUGUUCUUCCUCCCCAAAAUUUGUAACCACCAUCUAAUCAUGAGGAAAACACCAUACAAGUCCAAAUUGAGGAAGAUUCUACAAAAUGCCUGAUUAAUAUUCAUCGAAACUGUCAAGGUCAUCAAAAGCAAGGAAAGUCUGAGAAACUGCCACAGCCUAAAGGCAGUCCAGGGAAACAUGAUGACUCAGUGGUAUUCUGGGUGGGUUUCUGGAACAGAAAAAGGACAACAGUGUUAAUAUCUGGGUCAAACAUCUGGGCAGCAACAUCAGAAAGCCCCACUGCUGUGCUUCAGGGUCACUCUUAUCACUCCAUAAAGGUACCCUGAGCCACUAUCUAAAUGGUCUGCUUACCUUAUGAAGACACCAUAAGGAGGGAUAACGUGUGGUGAGCACAGGUGAAGAGCUAGAGGCCUGAAACUAGACGGGGAGGGAGAAGCCAGCCAUGCCUGCAUCCAGGGCUGAACUCAGCCUCCCGGCAUCUGUGCAGAGGCAUCAGUCAGGCCACAGCUAACUGCAGGCCCAGCUAACAUUAUGUGGAACAGGAGAAUUGCCCAGAUCUUCCCAGUCAACCAAGAUCAUAAAAUUGUUUUCAGCUAUUAAGUUUGAAUACAUGAAAUAAGGAGAUAAAAAUACUGACUGGGACUCUGAAUGAAAGAAUUAGUAGAUUAGAUUAGUGAUUCUCAAAAGACUUUGUUGGAUGCAUAUGUGUCCACAAAAUA
This 776-nucleotide long non-coding RNA is filed under the name Pongo abelii (Sumatran orangutan). RNAcentral describes it as "lincRNA". The record is from RNAcentral. Lineage: Eukaryota; Metazoa; Chordata; Mammalia; Primates; Hominidae.